GUAAGCCUGCUAAUUUGCAUCUCCUCUCCAACUAAAGUCAUAUUAAAAGGUUCCCCAGCAACAUUCUAAUCAUGAAGGUGUCACUUUCCUGAUAAUCUGUCUUUGAUUAAUGAACCAGAAGGUUGGGAGUGGCUGAGUGUGCAUGUGUGUGUUUUUGUGUGAGUGGGAAAUACACAGGGAGUGAGAGAGAAGAGAAUAAGAGAGUGGUGAAGCGAGGAGGGUACAACACCUCUUUUCCCCCCACAUUGCAGUCAACUGAGUUUAAAGUGAGACUGCGGAACAAAGGCGAACAGUGAAUUCUUUAUCUCAGUGGAUUUCUCCGUGUUUCAUGGUGAACAAUGUCUCCACUAUUAAAGAGCCUGAAACUCUCUGCAGGAGCCUGUUAACUAAUCAAGGAAGCUGGAACAAAGGGACACAUCAAUGAAGAGAUUGUGAGUGAAAGGGAAGUGAGUAAGGAGUGUCAUCAACGUGAUUGAUUAACAGGGCCGAUCUUUUAUUAUGUUUUUCAUUUUGUACAAAUGACAGCAUUGCACUUUUGUCCCUCCUAGGAAAGAUGUCCCUCCACUGUUGCUCUCCCUAAGCUGUCUUCUUUUUCCUCUUUCCUAUAAAUGUGUUUUUGUAAGUCUUUCCUUUCGCACAGAAUGGGAACAUGACCCCCCCAUGCACCCCCAAGAGCAUAUACAAUCAUCAAAAGGGUGCAAGUAAUGGAAUCAAUUUUAAUAUCUUUACCGUAACAGUUUAGGAUGCUUGUGGAAAUAUAGCAGACACAGACAUUUGUUGGAUUUUACUACAAAUCCAAAUAUUUAUAUUCAACAUUGUAAGUCUGGAGUCUUAACGUACAUUUAAAUAAAAAAGCAGAGGUGAACGUGGGCAUGUGAUAUGCAAAAUAUGUCAUUAUGUAAUUAUCAACAGUCUUUAUUUCAUAAUCGAGGAAAAAAUGUGUUUGUGGAUGAGCUAGUCUUUGUUUUAGAGAACAUCUCCUGAAACGUUAAAGAAGCCUACCAGAUACAUUGUAAUCUUCAUGUAUCAGUUUCCAAUGUAGCUUUCUUUUACCCGUUGUCCUUUCCAAAGAGAAAUGCAAACAGGCUGGCCGGCCAAACAAAGAGACUUGUCAAUCACCCUUCUGCCUUGAAUGUGUCCCAUCCUGUGUGUGUGUGUGUGUGUGUGUGUAAGCCUGCAUGUGUCAACAACGGCAGAACCAUCAUGUCAGACACCAAAAUGACACUGAUCGCAGUGUGAUGCCCACAACCACACGCACACAUGCACACAGGCGUGCGUGUACACGGCCAGGGGCCAGGUGGCUGCUCCCUGUCAUGACAGCCCCGGACCAGACCACCGACACCCUCGACUCCCCCGACACCUGAGACCACCAUCAGUGCAGCCAACACAGUUUCAGCCAUGCGCAGCCAGCAGUCAUUGAAUACGUUUACCCUGCUUGGAAAUUUGUGAGGAACAUUUGGUUUUUAUAUCAAGAUAUAGACUGUUGUACCAGCCUGGGGUGCAGUUAAGUGCUGUUUUGAUUGUUAUAAUUUAUUUACAGGGGCCUCUUACUGCACACGUGUGCCACUAUUUAUUGAAAUAUGUCACCACAACGUGGCGUUAAAGCACAUAGAUCUGCUAUGUCACUGACCUGGCGUCAGAUACGUCAGGCUGAUCAGCAGACAAAUCAGUAGCAGAGGGGAAUUUUAUUUUCCCUGACGGGACCUCACCAAGAUGCUUCCAUUUCCAUGGGCAAGCACUUGGGUGAGUGUGAGCAAACACCACAUUCAAUCUUGAAAAUAAAACGUAAGAUUAAUGAUGUUAGAGCUCCAAAUGUUAUUUUCCCCGCCCUCUACUUUUGUUUUACUUAUAUGUUUGUCUUGUUAUAAUAGAAAGAAUGACCAGAAAUGACCUUUUCCUCCGUCGUUCCAUCUGUUUCUGCUCCAGAUGCACAGGGACAUUAUAAAGUGAUGAUCCUCUUUCAAUAUUCACCUACAUAAUAGAACUAGUACAUUGAGCGUAGUUGGGUUAAGGUGCAGAGGAUGUGUUAGAGGAAGUGAUUAUCUUCCCGAAGACGACGCAGGCCUAGGGAGGCACUUACAAUUAUUUAUUCAUAAUGCAUCCACUGAAACACAAAUGCACUUUAUUGUCUCAUUCUGCAUCUUAUUUUACCCAUAAACCAGAAAAUGGGGUGGGAUUCUAAUGAAAGAGCCAUGUUAAUAUCAAGGCAGAUAAGGCCUGGCAUGUGUAGAUGGGAGCACUAUGUGGAAACCCAAUCACAAGUUCUUUCAAUCAUUCAAAACCAGAACAAGAGGGAAUGGAUGCAUUUGAAUAUUUUCCUCUACCUGAAGGUAUUAAAACUAUACAAUUUUAAUACCUAUUUAACAUGCAGUUGCUUUUUGUGCUUUGGAUUUUUGCAGUUCUGCAUAAAAGGCAGGCAAGUAAAGUAGGAGUAACUGUGGCAGCCAUGGACAUGACAUGCUUUUUCAACCAUUCCCUGACUUUAAUCGCUGCAUUAAGGUUUUACUCACUGAGUGGGCUGCUCUCUCCCAGCAGUCUAAUUCUGGCUUCCUUCUUUAUUCUGUUUUCUUUGCUCGCUGAAAUGCCAAAGAUACAAGUUUGUAGCUCAUAAUCACAUUACCCCCUUUAAAAAUAAAUAUAUUUUAGUCCAAAAUGCAGAAUACAGUAUGCACGUAUGUACACUCAGCACUUCCGUAAAGUGUUAAGGCAAGGUAACACAGAGUCACCUGCGGUAAAAAAAAUGUUAAACGUGAGAUGAAGAAUGCUCCAGCUCCAGAGUUCACCAAAGUCGGCACUGUGACUGAUAAUACAAUUUGAACAUCUCAUUCAUCAGAAACAUUUGUUCCCUUACAACAUCAGGCCGUUGGUUGCUCCUCUUUCAGGGCCAGUUGGAAUAAACAAAGUAAAAGAAAAAAUUAGUGGUGUUAUGAAUAUUCUGAAAGAGAAUGGAGGAAGAGGGAAGUCAUUCCACCCAUCCACGUUUCUUUAUUUUCCACUCCGCCGAUCACAUUUGAAUAUUUUGAAAGGAGUGCCUCUGUUUGCCUUAUCAUGCAUUAUUCUGAGGCAUUACCUGGGCCUUAACACUGCAAUAAAGAUGCCUGGGAAGUCUCUCUCCCUUUUUCACACAGAUGCACAACAAUAAUAAUAUUCAUACACCACCGGCCUCAAGAAGAGGGCUCUUUCCUUUAACUUUAUAAUCCCUUUAAAGAUGUGCAUGUAGAGGAGGUUUAGCCAGUGUGAAUGAUACCGGGGAUGUCUUUUUUAAAGCCGUGAUACAAUGACAGCUUUUCAGGCCAAUGAAGUAAUACUUUCAGUUGGGAUGUGAAUCCCAACAUUGUGUGUGGAUAACAUUGAGAAUGGUAAGGGAUUAAAUUAUAGGGGAGGACAUUGGCAGCUCUGUUGAAUAAAUGUGACGGCUGCAGGGCUCCGACAUAAAUAUUUUGGAGAGUUCAAAUUAAAUAUAACUGUUUAAUCUUCCUGAAGACAACAAUCAACAUCAAUUUUCCGGGAAUCAAUUCCAAAAGAGAUUUUCCAACCUCUCAGAAAACAUAUCAUAUAAAAGUUUUGUCCGAGAAAAUUUGCAUUACUUGAUAAUGGAAGUCACUGGACUGGAAGGUGCAGCUUAUGUGUAAAUUAAUUCAUUUUAGGAUUCCUUCUUCAACCAGAAACACAAACCAACUCCUUGGACUCUAUUGAUCACCUGACCGACCUCCACACUCGCACAACAUGUAAGACAAGAUGUCACAUUAUUCCUUCAUCAUUAACUUCUUGCAUUAGGCAUACAAUGCCCUCGACAUGUGUGUUUUCCAGUGAUAAAAGAGAACAUUCAGGAUAACAUUGGGAUGAAUGACAGCUAAAAUGUUUUUUUUUUUAUUAUUGAUACAUUUCCACCUGCUACAGUUCAUGUCCUGUCAGUGAAAGGACUGAUUGUAAUUUGUCACAUUUAUUUGUGACAACAAUUUAUUUCUUAUCAUUUAAACAAUAUAAAUCAGAAGAGUAGAAGUAGGCCAUAGCGACAAUAAGGGUAGAUACAGUAAUAGUUAGUAAGGGAAAUAUAAUCUGUAAAUAAAUAAUGAAUACAUCUAAAAACAAAAGAAAGAGGAGGAAAAAGAUGAAAUACGGCCACAAUUAAUCUAUUGUCUGCAUAAAUUCAAAGCACAUCUGACAAUGAUGGGCGGAUUAUUAAAGGUCAGUGAGGAGCUUGGCAGAAGGAUCAUGUACUGCCUUUAAAAGUAUUUUAAUUGACACUAAAUAUUUGGCAAUUUAUUGGAAAAGCCUGUGCAUAUGAUGUAUGUGACUAUUUUCAUUAACUCUUCAGACUUGACCAUGAAUGCAAGCUUUACUGUUGCUAUGCGGAUGCAACCACGUGUUGAAUGUAGCCAUAUUAUUAUGUAUUAUAUAUUGUUUACAUGUUGUUGAUGUGAACAAUAUUAUGCGUUGGCCUUUUAACCUUCAUGUCAAAAGGUUGAGCUGAUCUAAGACCCGAUCGCAUUCUCUGUGGACAUAGUUAAAGGAAAUAAGAGGGUCUCUUGACUUGACCAUGGAUAUUUGUUGCUCGCGGGUUUGCACCUUUAUACACCUUCCUUUUUCCAAAUAAAAACAUGCUUGUGUGACAUUAGUUUUUGAAGAAUAGUGCCCUGGAACCAUGAAUAGAAAUGCAUUUCUCUGCUUCUCUCUGACCCUGAGCCCUGGAGCCCAAAGACAUUUCUACCAAACCCCCUCAAAGGGUCAAAUCUCUAAACCUUUGAAUAAAACCUUUUCUACCUUUCAGAGACGGACGGAUAAAGUGGUGCGGGGGAACGGGCGGAGAGACAGCAAAAAAACGACGGAGAGAGAGAACCAUUCCAGUGUCCUAUAAGCUGUUGUUUGUCUCCUUGAGGUGGCCUGCAGCCCUGAUACUUUUUGUCUUGCCUGUGGACCCGUUCUACCCCCCUUCUCUCUUUCUCCCUCCCUCAAUCUUUCUCACUCUUGCUCCAUCUCCUUCCCCUAAGUCACCCCAUCACCCUCCCUCCCUCUGUGUUCCCCUGCCCCUCUCGCUCCAUCCACUUUUCCCUUCCGAAGGCUAAGGAUUCCAGCGGCCCCUUUGAGAGAAGUGUGUGAAAAUGCACAAUGCAGGUCCCAUGGCGUGCCCACCCCC
Molecule: long non-coding RNA, 5137 nt
Organism: Gasterosteus aculeatus aculeatus (three-spined stickleback)
Lineage: Eukaryota; Metazoa; Chordata; Actinopteri; Perciformes; Gasterosteidae
Source: Ensembl